AACGCACAUUGCGCCCGCCAGUAUUCUGGCGGGCAUGCCUGUUCGAGCGUCAUUUCAACCAUCAAGCGCCAGCGCUUGUGUUGGAGCCCUGCGGCUGCCGCAGGCUCCCAAACCCAGUGGCGGGCUCGUCGUCGUACCGAGUGCAGUAAACAUACCACGCUCAGGGCACGCGACGGGUGACCGGCCGUAAAACCCCCAACUUCUCAAGGUUGACCUCGGAUCAGGUAGGAAUACCCGCUGAACUUAA
RNAcentral lists this unclassified non-coding RNA (247 nucleotides) under uncultured Lasiosphaeriaceae. Its description in RNAcentral is "sequence contains ITS2". The stretch from base 1 to 52 matches the Rfam family "5.8S ribosomal RNA", at positions 103 to 154 of the family's 154-position model. Lineage: Eukaryota; Fungi; Ascomycota; Sordariomycetes; Sordariales; Lasiosphaeriaceae. The record is from RNAcentral.